UACAGAGGUCUCGAGCGUUAGGCGGAAUCACUGGGCUUAAAGCGUGUGUAGGCGGAUCGUUAAGUGCCUUGUGAAAUCCCACGGCUCAACCGUGGAACUGCUCGGCAUACUGGCGGUCUUGAGCAACCUAGGGGCGAGCGGAACAAAUGGUGGAGCGGUGAAAUGCGUAGAUAUCAUUUGGAACGCCAAUGGUGAAAACAGCUCGCUGGGGGUUUGCUGACGCUGAGACACGAAAGCCAGGGGAGCAAACGGG
Molecule: ribosomal RNA, 253 nt
Filed under: uncultured bacterium
Lineage: Bacteria
Description: partial 16S ribosomal RNA
Rfam family: Bacterial small subunit ribosomal RNA
Source: RNAcentral